RNAcentral lists this ribosomal RNA (711 nucleotides) under uncultured Sphingobacteriia bacterium. RNAcentral describes it as "bacterial SSU rRNA". It matches the Rfam family "Bacterial small subunit ribosomal RNA", at positions 94 to 803 of the family's 1533-position model. The record is from RNAcentral. Lineage: Bacteria; Pseudomonadati; Bacteroidota; Sphingobacteriia.
AGUGGCGCACGGGUGCGUAACACGUAUGCAACCUACCUAUAACUGGGGGAUAGCCUCCCGAAAGGGAGAUUAACACCGCAUAACAAUAUGAAGUGGCAUCAUUUUAUAUUUAAAUCUACGGAGGUUAUAGAUGGGCAUGCGUCCGAUUAGCUAGUUGGUGAGGUAACGGCUCACCAAGGCUCCGAUCGGUAGGGGGUCUGAGAGGAUGAUCCCCCACACUGGUACUGAGACACGGACCAGACUCCUACGGGAGGCAGCAGUAAGGAAUAUUGGACAAUGGGCGCAAGCCUGAUCCAGCCAUGCCGCGUGAAGGAUGAAGGCCCUAUGGGUCGUAAACUUCUUUUAUACGGGACAAAACCCCCCGAUGCGUCGGGGGUUGAUGGUACUGUAAGAAUAAGGGUCGGCUAACUUCGUGCCAGCAGCCGCGGUAAUACGAAGGACCCGAGCGUUAUCCGGAUUUAUUGGGUUUAAAGGGUGCGUAGGCGGAUUAGUAAGUCAGUGGUGAAAGCCCAUCGCUUAACGGUGGAAUUGCCAUUGAUACUGCUAGUCUUGAGUAUGGUUGAGGUGGGCGGAAUGUGUCAUGUAGCGGUGAAAUGCUUAGAUAUGACCCAGAACACCAAUUGCGAAGGCAGCUCGCUAAACCAUAACUGACGCUGAUGCACGAAAGCGUGGGGAGCAAACAGGAUUAGAUACCCUGGUAGUCCACGCCCU